AUGGUGGGCCUGCAGCUGGUUGGGGCUGCAGCUAGUGGACCUGCAGGGUUGGGGCUGCAGCUAGUGGGGGCUGCAGCUAGUGGGCCUGCAGCCGGUGAGGCUCGCCAAGCAGGCCCGGGCAUCCCCCAGCCCCGCCUCCCUGCGUCCCUGCGGGUGGGCCCCGCACAUCUCCGAGUCACCCUGAGCCCCGGUCCCGCGCCCCCCACCCCGUGCAGAGCAGGAGGGCGGCGCCUCUGGGCCUCGACCCUCGGACAAACCGUCUCCCUGCCGCGGGGUGCGGGCGGGGGCCGGGGCGGGCUGGUCCCCGCGGGGGCCAGGUCUCAGCCCGAGCAGGGCUCCUCGGGGCCGGCGGCGGGGGCCGGGGGGGCGUCCGGGUCCCCGCCCUCGGUGGAGCCGUCGGCGCAGCCCUCGAUGGAGCCCUCGGUGGAGCCGUCGGCGCAGCCCUCGAUGGAGCCCUCGGUGCAGCCCUCGGUGCAGCCGUCGAUGGGGCCGUCGGGGCAGCCCUCGAGGGAGCCGGCGCUGUCCCCCGACAGCAGGCGCGUGACCCGCAGGGCGGGCCCCAGCUCGGCUGCCCCUGCUGUGCCUCCUACUGAUCCUCCCGCCGACAGCAUUUGCAUCAGCGUCACUGGGGCCGUCCCAGACCUUCUUCAGAAUCUGCACGUUUAACGCGAUUCCCGCAGAUUCACAGGCCUGAUUAAGGUCACAAGCGCUGGGGUUUGUUUUUUUUUUGCUUUUGUUAAGAUUUCAUCCAUUCAUUCAUGAGACACACCGAGGCAGAGACACAGGGAGAGGGAGAACCAGGCUCCCUGGGGGAUGCGGAGGCGGGGCUCGAUGCAGGACCCCGGGGUCAUGCCCUGGGCGGGAGGCAAAGGCUCCGUCGCGGAGCCCCCGGGGCAUCCCCAGCGCUGAUCCCUGGGACGCGCACCAACCACCCCCAUUCUUCCCGCCCUGGCCCCGCCCCUCCCCGGCGGGUCCCACCCACAGCCCCUCCCCUCCUGGUUGGCCCCGACCACGCCCCCCGCCGGGUCCCGCCCCU
RNAcentral lists this long non-coding RNA (1036 nucleotides) under Canis lupus familiaris (dog). Its description in RNAcentral is "lncRNA (ENSCAFG00000051236.1)". The record is from RNAcentral. Lineage: Eukaryota; Metazoa; Chordata; Mammalia; Carnivora; Canidae.